CCCUUAGAUGUUCUGGACCGCACACGCGCUACACUGAAGGAGGCAGCGUGUACUCCUGGAUCGAAAGAUUUGGGUAACCCGCGAAUCUCCUUCGUGCUAGGGAUUGAGGUUUGCAAUUAUCCUUCAUGAACGAGGAAUUCCCAGUAAGUGCAAGUCAUAAGCUUGCGCUGACUACGUCCCUGCCCUUUGUACACACCGCCCGUCGCUACUACCGAUUGAAUGAUUUAGUGAGGACUUCGGACUGGGACCGAUGCGGCUUUCGGGCUGCGUCGGUAUUCUGGAAAGAUGUCCAAACUGUAUCAUUUAGAGGAAGUAAAAGUCGUAACA
Molecule: ribosomal RNA, 327 nt
Filed under: uncultured eukaryote
Lineage: Eukaryota
Description: partial 18S ribosomal RNA
Rfam family: Eukaryotic small subunit ribosomal RNA
Source: RNAcentral